This 1057-nucleotide ribosomal RNA is filed under the name Glutamicibacter sp. RNAcentral's name for it is "bacterial SSU rRNA". It matches the Rfam family "Bacterial small subunit ribosomal RNA", at positions 407 to 1469 of the family's 1533-position model. Lineage: Bacteria; Bacillati; Actinomycetota; Actinomycetes; Micrococcales; Micrococcaceae. The record is from RNAcentral.
GAUGACGGCCUUCGGGUGUAAACCUCUUUCAGUAGGGAAGAAGCGAAAGUGACGGUACCUGCAGAAGAAGCGCCGGCUAACUACGUGCCAGCAGCCGCGGUAAUACGUAGGGCGCAAGCGUUAUCCGGAUUUAUUGGGCGUAAAGAGCUCGUAGGCGGUUUGUCGCGUCUGCCGUGAAAGUCCGAGGCUCAACCUCGGAUCUGCGGUGGGUACGGGCAGACUAGAGUGAUGUAGGGGAGACUGGAAUUCCUGGUGUAGCGGUGAAAUGCGCAGAUAUCAGGAGGAACACCGAUGGCGAAGGCAGGUCUCUGGGCAUUUACUGACGCUGAGGAGCGAAAGCAUGGGGAGCGAACAGGAUUAGAUACCCUGGUAGUCCAUGCCGUAAACGUUGGGCACUAGGUGUGGGGGACAUUCCACGUUUUCCGCGCCGUAGCUAACGCAUUAAGUGCCCCGCCUGGGGAGUACGGCCGCAAGGCUAAAACUCAAAGGAAUUGACGGGGGCCCGCACAAGCGGCGGAGCAUGCGGAUUAAUUCGAUGCAACGCGAAGAACCUUACCAAGGCUUGACAUGUGCCAGACCGCUCCAGAGAUGGGGUUUCCCUUCGGGGCUGGUUCACAGGUGGUGCAUGGUUGUCGUCAGCUCGUGUCGUGAGAUGUUGGGUUAAGUCCCGCAACGAGCGCAACCCUCGUUCCAUGUUGCCAGCACGUAGUGGUGGGGACUCAUGGGAGACUGCCGGGGUCAACUCGGAGGAAGGUGGGGAUGACGUCAAAUCAUCAUGCCCCUUAUGUCUUGGGCUUCACGCAUGCUACAAUGGCCGGUACAAUGGGUUGCGAUACUGUGAGGUGGAGCUAAUCCCUAAAAGCCGGUCUCAGUUCGGAUUGGGGUCUGCAACUCGACCCCAUGAAGUCGGAGUCGCUAGUAAUCGCAGAUCAGCAACGCUGCGGUGAAUACGUUCCCGGGCCUUGUACACACCGCCCGUCAAGUCACGAAAGUUGGUAACACCCGAAGCCGAUGGCCUAACCACCUUGUGUGGGGGGAGUCGUCGAAGGGUGGACCC